Molecule: long non-coding RNA, 688 nt
Organism: Papaver somniferum (opium poppy)
Lineage: Eukaryota; Viridiplantae; Streptophyta; Magnoliopsida; Ranunculales; Papaveraceae
Exons: 2
Source: RefSeq, a predicted model, not a curated record
GCCUCCGCCUCCGCCUCCACCACUACCAAUUUUUUCAUUUCCCCUGUAUCUCUCAAUCUUCUUCUUCACCCUGUAUUUUAGUUGACGGUCGCAACCAUUUCUCUAUCUCUUUUGAUUAGAUCCAAGAAUUUGUGUUUCUUAACUAUGGUUUUUACUAGUUCAUCAUCAUAAAGAUGGAACAUGACAUAUUGACAAAUCAGAGGAUCUGCUUCUUCUCCUCAAAUCAUUGUGAGUUAUGCUUGAGUGGAGAUUCAACUUGAGGAAGUGCUGAUGGAUUUUACAUCAGUUUUAUCACCACCUACAAAGGCCCCUUUAUUGAGAAUAGAUGAUGCUGGGUACUUGUUUCAUGAAUAAUUAUCUCGACUCAGGUUAAAGUCUACAGAGGCAAAGGUCUGAAAUUUGGUACAGGAAAGAGCAACCAAAUCUUUGCUUAGAGUCAAUUAUCAAAACCAACGCAAGGGAUUUUCAUAAUGAGAUCUAUUUUUCUUGGUGUGUGAUUCAGAAAAAAAACUAACGUGUUCUUCAAAGUUGAAGUAGUUGUUAUUCUUCAGAUUAUAUCUGUAUUUCUUUUCUUUCUUUUUUCUUAAAAGAAGGGAGAUUGUAUUUCUUUAUUUGAGAAUUGAUGUGUAAUUUUUUUGAUCAGAAUAAUUGAGAUUGCAAUUCUUUAUUUAAGAAUUGAUGUUGUAAA